This 434-nucleotide ribosomal RNA is filed under the name uncultured Lachnospiraceae bacterium. Its description in RNAcentral is "partial 16S ribosomal RNA". It matches the Rfam family "Bacterial small subunit ribosomal RNA", at positions 341 to 792 of the family's 1533-position model. The record is from RNAcentral. Lineage: Bacteria; Bacillati; Bacillota; Clostridia; Lachnospirales; Lachnospiraceae.
ACGGGAGGCAGCAGUGGGGAAUAUUGCACAAUGGGGGAAACCCUGAUGCAGCAACGCCGCGUGAGUGAAGAAGUAUUUCGGUAUGUAAAGCUCUAUCAGCAGGGAAGAUAAUGACGGUACCUGACUAAGAAGCUCCGGCUAAAUACGUGCCAGCAGCCGCGGUAAUACGUAUGGAGCGAGCGUUAUCCGGAUUUACUGGGUGUAAAGGGUGUGUAGGCGGCAUGGCAAGUCAGAUGUGAAAGACCGGGGCUCAACUCCGGGGCUGCAUUUGUAACUGUCAGGCUGGAGUACAGGAGAGGCAGGCGGAAUUCCUAGUGUAGCGGUGAAAUGCGUAGAUAUUAGGAGGAACACCAGUGGCGAAGGCGGCCGGCUGGACUGUUACUGACGCUGAGGCACGAAAGCGUGGGGAGCAAACAGGAUUAGAUACCCUGGUA